Molecule: ribosomal RNA, 443 nt
Filed under: uncultured bacterium
Lineage: Bacteria
Description: partial 16S ribosomal RNA
Rfam family: Bacterial small subunit ribosomal RNA
Source: RNAcentral
CCUACGGGAGGCAGCAGUGGGGAAUAUUGGGCAAUGGGCGCAAGCCUGACCCAGCAACGCCGCGUGAAGGAAGAAUGCUUUCGGGUUGUAAACUUCUUUUAUCAGGGACGAAGCAAGUGACGGUACCUGCUGAAUAAGCCACGGCUAACUACGUGCCAGCAGCCGCGGUAAUACGUAGGUGGCCAGCGUUAUCCGGAUUUACUGGGUGUAAAGGGCGUGGAGGCGGGAGUGUAAGUCAGAUGUGAAAACUAUGGGCUCAACCCAUAGCCUGCAUUUGAAACUGUACUUCUUGAGUGCUGGGGAGGAAAGCGGAAUUCCGUGUGUAGCGGUGAAAUGCGUAGAUAUACGGAGGAACACCAGUGGCGAAGGCAGAUUGCUGGACAGUAACUGACGCUGAGGCGCGAAAGCGUGGGGAGCAAACAGGAUUAGAUACCCGAGUAGUC